CAAACAGAUCAUAAGGAACUGGGUAUUAUCUUCAGUUUUUCAGUGUUGUUGAAGUAAAUCAUUUACUUUAGGUCCUUCAGGAGUCCUUUAUGUAAAGCUAAAACUGCUCAAAAUCUCCAUAUCGCACUCUAAGGCCUUUACUACAAGAGGAAAAUGAGGCUUCCCAUUACUUCUGCCCCAGCUUAUCCACAAAUAGCUCCUGUGCUGGCUUCCUGCCCGGGGCAGACUUCACCUACUUUGCACAGGCACCUCAGUCCAUACAUGUGGUGCAGCUGUGACCUCUGCUCAGGGCUCUCCAGGGAAAGCUGACGUGAUUUAAAGGUCAGCACAGAAGUGUGAUUGCUGGGUAGAGUCCACAGUGUGAAAGCAGUUUCUGCACUGGGAUGGUGAAUGGAUUACUCACCUCAUAAAACUACUUAGUAUGUCAGCUGGAGAAAUGGGGUCUUUGUCAAAAGGUGAAGCUGCAGAGUGAAUGGUCAAUAGUGGAAAGGGCAAGACCCCUCUCCUCUGAGACACCCACUAGGCUGACAGAAAACACAGAGACAUUGGCAGGGUUUAAGCAUCUUGACUUGAGCAUCCAGCAUCUGUGUAUCCAAACAAGAGUCACCCAGCAUCCUCGUGACCAGCCAUUGGCUGUCUCCAUGGAGAUGAGUGCUGCUGCUCUGGGGACCACAGCAGGAUGGUAUCAGGUUGGAGAAGAUCAUUACCACAAAAUAGAAAUGGCCACAGCUGACUGGAGAGAAGAGACUGAGCAGGCAAAGCAAUGGGGACAUCUAUGGGAACAAAAAAAGAGAAAAGGACAAAUCCUCUGAGGAUGAAACCAUCUCUGGACAGUGCUGAUUACAAGAUCUACUAAACAUUGCUGGUGUCCCCCUGACCUGUUGCUGUUCAGCAAAGCAGUGGCUCCCAGUAAUUUCUCCCUAUGGUUUUGGGGAAGUCGUCACUACUCUCAGAAAAAAUAUCACCAGAGCUAAUUGCC
This 979-nucleotide long non-coding RNA is filed under the name Anas platyrhynchos platyrhynchos (common mallard). Its description in RNAcentral is "lncRNA (ENSAPLG00000022738.1)". The record is from RNAcentral. Lineage: Eukaryota; Metazoa; Chordata; Aves; Anseriformes; Anatidae.